RNAcentral lists this transfer RNA (76 nucleotides) under Mus musculus (house mouse). RNAcentral describes it as "tRNA-Ser". The record is from RNAcentral. Lineage: Eukaryota; Metazoa; Chordata; Mammalia; Rodentia; Muridae.
GGUUGGAGAGAUGGCUCAGUGGGUAAGAGCACCCGACUGCUCUUCCGAAAGUCCAGAGUUCAAAUCCCAGCAACCA